GGAACCUUCAAUCAAGGUUACCAAAAGCUAGGAAGACAAGGUGAGGGGAAGAAGAAGAAGAAGAAGAAAAAAAAAGGAGAUGCAUUGUUUAGCAUUAGAAGCUACUCAUUGACCACCUUCAAGCUACUCAAGUGGGAAACACCAAGUGAUUGCUCCAUCACCUGCAAUUACUCUUGGAAUUCAGAACUCUCCUUCUAUGCAGCAUUCAGCGGCAUUAUUCUUUUUCCUAGGAGGGCUAGUUGUGCUUCUAAUAUUGCUGAUUCUCGUAUUUAUCUUCUGGAAAAUUAUCAAACCAGAAAAGCUGAAAAAGUCUGUAGGAUGUACUAAAGGGCAGCAGGGUUCAACUGAUUUCUUUAGUGGAAAUCUUUGAACCAUAAGCUAUUUUGACUUUCACAAAUUAAAGAACGCAACUAAAAAUUUUCACCACUGUAAUCUUCUUGGAAGAGGUGGUUUUGGUCCUGCUCUCGGGUAUUACUGCUUCUAAUGAAAACUUUGUCUGGGAAUUUCUAUUUCUAUUUUGUAUAAUCAGGAAAAAUCCUAAAGAUAGUGGCAAAACUCUUUGACGACCUCUACCUAUAUAUGUGAAGCGUCAAAAUGGAAUAUUGGAACUAACAAUGAAUGGGUCGAACAACAUUUAUCUACAAUUUGAGAUUAGGGAUUAUGAGAUGCAGGGGAUGGGCUAAAAUGUUGACUGUGGUAGAGGGAUGGGAUUUAAGGCAAAAAGAAACUUGAUUUAAGGAAGAAAGAACCUUACUAUAAGAAACGAAUUAGAACUGUAAGAGCUAAGAAGAAAAUUUUUUGUGUUCUUAAAUUUUAGGAAGACCAAGGACCUCUUAAGCCUAUAUGUAGGUUGGUUUUGAUUAAUGUCUUAGUGUAGAUGUUGCAAAAAAAUUGUUUAUAUGUGCUGGCCUCCUUUUGUGCGUAUUGCACCACCAAAUAUUCACCACUGACGGAUUAAGUCUUCAGAAGGGAUCUAAUUUCUUUUUAUU
Camellia sinensis is the source of this 989-nucleotide non-coding RNA. NCBI's taxonomy places the organism in Eukaryota, Viridiplantae, Streptophyta, Magnoliopsida, Ericales, Theaceae. The record is from RefSeq and is a predicted model, not a curated record.